This 490-nucleotide ribosomal RNA is filed under the name uncultured bacterium. RNAcentral describes it as "partial 16S ribosomal RNA". It matches the Rfam family "Bacterial small subunit ribosomal RNA", at positions 30 to 507 of the family's 1533-position model. The record is from RNAcentral.
AUUGAACGCUGGCGGCAGGCCUAACACAUGCAAGUCGAACGGUAACAGGAAGAAGCUUGCUUCUUUGCUGACGAGUGGCGGACGGGUGAGUAAUGUCUGGGAAACUGCCUGAUGGAGGGGGAUAACUACUGGAAACGGUAGCUAAUACCGCAUAACGUCGCAAGACCAAAGAGGGGGACCUUCGGGCCUCUUGCCAUCGGAUGUGCCCAGAUGGGAUUAGCUAGUAGGUGGGGUAACGGCUCACCUAGGCGACGAUCCCUAGCUGGUCUGAGAGGAUGACCAGCCACACUGGAACUGAGACACGGUCCAGACUCCUACGGGAGGCAGCAGUGGGGAAUAUUGCACAAUGGGCGCAAGCCUGAUGCAGCCAUGCCGCGUGUAUGAAGAAGGCCUUCGGGUUGUAAAGUACUUUCAGCGGGGAGGAAGGGAGUAAAGUUAAUACCUUUGCUCAUUGACGUUACCCGCAGAAGGAGCACCGGCUAACUCCGUG